This 3527-nucleotide unclassified non-coding RNA is filed under the name Hevea brasiliensis (rubber tree). The record is from RNAcentral. Lineage: Eukaryota; Viridiplantae; Streptophyta; Magnoliopsida; Malpighiales; Euphorbiaceae.
AGUGACUUUAAGACAAAAAAAGCCACCAAACCAAGAGAAAAAUAUGGCCGCCUUUUUGUCGGGAUCUUUCUACGCCUUAAUUACUGAUAAAAAAUCAAAGGGCACUGGUUUGCCUGACAAAAUGUUCUGGUUUGUUAUUCCAGUACUGUUUUUACAUUGUUUCAUGGCUAUGGCUGUGACCAACUUGAGCACAGAUGAAUCUGCUCUUCUUGCUCUAAAAGCUCAUAUAACUGUCGACCCUCAUAAUGUCACGACGUACAAUUGGUCCAGCACUAGCUCCGUCUGCAACUGGGUUGGCAUCUCAUGUGGCGCUCGCCAUAGAAGAGUAACAGCUUUGAAUCUUACAAACAUGGGUCUUCAAGGCAUCAUUCCACUGCACCUUGGAAACCUCUCCUUCUUGGGUUACCUUACCGCAAGUGGCAACAAAUUUCAGGGUCGUCUGCCAGAAGAGCUAUCCCGGUUGCGGCGAUUGAAAGUUAUCAAUUUCAACGAAAAUAACUUAGGCGGGGAUCUUCCAUCUUGGUUCGCAAACUUAACUUCACUUCAAACCUUGAAUCUCGCUAAUAACACUUUUGUUGGAACCAUUCCAGUUGAAAUUGGUAAUCUUACCCGCCUAAGGAUACUCAACUUGCAGCAGAACCAACUUUCAGGGACAAUACCUAGGAGUAUCUUCAACAUGUCUUCAUUGGAAAAUCUUGCGUUGACACUCAAUAAUCUCUCGGGUAGUCUCCCUCUACCAGAUGAUAUUGAAAUAUGCCAUCAACUUUCAAAACUGAAAGGGCUAUAUUUGUCUUCUAAUCAGUUGAAUGGCCAAAUUCCAUCAAGUUUUGGGGAGUGCAGCAACCUUCAGGUCUUAUCCUUGUCAGUUAAUCGUUUCACAGGAAGCAUUCCAACAGUUAUUGGAAAUUUAACAGGCCUAAAGCAACUAUUUCUCGGAUCAAAUUACCUAACAGGUGCAAUACCAAAUGAGUUGAGUCACCUAAGUAAUCUGGAGGCUUUGAGCACACCACGUAACAACUUAAGCGGCUUCAUUCCCUCUUCAGUCUUCAAUCUCUCGAAGCUGACACUCCUUGACGUUUCGGGUAAUCAACUUUCUGGCCAUCUUCCAUCAAGCAUAUCGCUUCCCAAUCUUGAGUAUUUCGAUGUAUCGGUUAAUAACUUCAGUGGCAGAAUCCCCCGCUCUAUCUCCAAUUCUUCUAACCUCAUCAUACUAUAUACAUACAAUAAUUCUUUCUCUGGCCUUAUUCCCAACACACUUGGUAAUCUACGAAUGCUACAGAGGCUUGACAUUACUUUCAAUAAUUUAACAGCUGAUUUGAGCUUUUUUUCCUCACUGACAAGUUGCUCGUAUUUGGAUACCUUAUCACUUUCCUUCAAUCCCUUGAACGUUUUCCUUCCAAUUUCUAUUGGGAAUAUGUCCUCUCUCCAAUAUUUUAUUGCAGGAUUAUGCAAUAUCAAGGGUAUCAUUCCAGUUCAAAUUGGUAACUUGAGCACAAUGGUGCAAAUGGAACUUUCUUUAAAUGAAUUGAUUGGGUCCAUACCAUCAACAUUAGGAGGAUUGAAGCAGCUUCAGGGUCUGUCUCUCUCUGGAAAUCAGUUACAAGGAGCCAUCCCCAAUGACAUCUGUCACUUGGAAAGUUUGAAUUACUUGUACUUAGAGAGCAAUAGGCUUUCUGGACAGAUACCCACAUGCAUGCCGAAUUUAACUUCUCUGAGAAAACUCUACUUACAAAAAAACAGCUUGAGUUCGGCCAUACCCUCAUCUAUCUGGAGUCUUACAUUUCUGUUGGAAGUAAGAUUGAGUUCAAAUUCUUUAAAUGGUUCUCUACCAUCAGAUAUUGGAAAUUUAAAGGCCCUGGUAUACAUGGACUUAUCAAGAAAUCAAAUAUCAGGCGCUAUUCCAAGUAGCAUUGGAGGUCUCAAAGAUUUACAGUAUCUUUCCUUAGCGGAAAAUAGUUUUCAAGGCUCUAUUCCAGUGUCAUUUGGGGGCUUGGUAAGCUUGAUAUCCUUGAAUCUAUCGGCAAACAAUCUCUCUGGAGUGAUUCCCAAGUCCUUGGAGGCACUUUCGAACAUCAAAUCAUUCAAUGUGUCUUCAAAUAGAUUGCAGGGAGAAAUCCCACGUGGAGGACCCUUUGUAAACUUCUCUGCUGAGUCGUUUAAGUUUAAUGAUGCCCUGUGUGGGUUGCCAAGGUUACAAGUCCCGCCUUGUAAAACUAUAACUCCUCGAAGAUCCAAGGCAGGUAGUGUCCGCUUACUGAAAUAUAUUUUACCAGUGCUUGCAUUUCUCAGUCUGGUAAUUGCAUUCACUAUCAUAUUCAUCAAAAGCAGAAAGAAGAGGAACUUGAAACGAGAGACCCAAGUAACAGGAGAUUUGUUACCCCUGGCAACAUGGAGGAGAAUUUCCUUUCUGGAACUUCAACAAGCAACAGAUGGAUUUAGUGAUUACAACUUGCUUGGCACAGGGAGUUUUGGCUCUGUAUUUAGAGGUUCCCUGUCAGAUGGGACAGAUAUUGCUGUUAAGGUUUUCAAUUUGCAGGUGGAAGGAGUAUUAAAGAGUUUUGAUUCUGAAUGUGAAGUUAUGCGCAAAAUUCGCCAUCGAAAUCUCGUAAAAAUCAUAACCAGUUGCUGCAACAUUGAUUUUAAAGCCUUGAUACUCGAGUUCAUGCCCAAUGGGAGCCUCGACAAGUGGUUGUAUUCUCACAACUAUUUCUUGGAUUUCCCACAGAGGUUAAACAUUAUGAUUGAUGUUGCAUCAGCCCUUGAAUAUCUCCAUUCUUACUCCGCACCUAUAAUCCACUGUGAUUUAAAGCCCAGUAACAUUCUACUAGAUGGAGAUAUGGUGGCACAUGUGGGCGAUUUUGGCAUUGCCAAACUCUUGGGUGGAGGUGAUUGCAUUUGCAUGACACAAACCCUGACAUUAGCCACAAUUGGGUAUAUGGCACCAGAAUAUGGACAGGCUGGAAUAGUUUCUACAAGAGGUGAUGUGUAUAGCUAUGGCAUUCUAAUGAUGGAAACCUUUACCAGGAAAAAGCCUACUGAUGAAAUGUUUUCAGGAGAGAUGAACAUUAUGCAGUGGGUGAAACGUUCAUUGCCUGAUGCAAUAACUGAAGUUGUGGAUUCAAAUCUAUUAAGGGUAGAGAGGCCCUCCAUUGCUGAAACAGAUAGUGUAAUGUCGACUUUGAAAUUGGCAUUGCAUUGUUGUGCAGAUUUACCAGAAGACAGGCUGCACAUGAAAGAUGUCCUUUCCUCUCUGGAAAAGAUUAGAACACAGUAUUUGAAGGACCUUCGGGAUAAGAAAUUCUGAAUGCUCGAAGAACCACAUCAAAUUCUCAAAAAUAAAAGAGCCUGGAGGGAACCAUUCACAAAUAUUCCGCCAACCAGGAAGGUCUAAAUUCCAUUUCUUCUCAAAAUGUUAUUAAUACUUGCUACUUUGAUUUGGAAGUCAUGGGCUCCAGAAUAUCAUUAUUUAAAUCUGAAAGAUUUAAAUAUCUUACCUUACAAAUAAAAUCUACUUGAGAUUAACCCCA